GCCCAGCCGUAAAAAUUAACUCUCUCCCACUAGCGCCUGGGUAUUACGAGCGCUAGCUUAAAAUCCAAAGGACUUGACGGUGUCCCACCCACCUAGAGGAGCCUGUUCUAUAAUCGAUAAUCCUCGUUAUACCUCACCAUUUCUCGCUUUUCAGCCUGUAUACCUCCGUCGUAAGCUUACCGUAUGAAUGUCUAACAGUAGGUUAAAUGGCUUCCUACCGCCAAUACGUCAGGUCAAGGUGCAGCCAAUGAAAUGGGAAGCAAUGGGCUACAAUUUCUAAUUUAGAACAAACGGAAUACUACAUGAAACAUAGUCAUGAAGGCGGAUUUAGUAGUAAAAGGAAANUAGAGUGUUCCUUUUAACNNAGGCUCUGGGACGUGUACAAACCGCCCGUCACCCUCUUCGAUAGUAAAUAAACUGUUCUUAACAUCAUCUAAGCGUCUUAGAAGAGGCAAGUCGUAACAUGGUAAGUGUACUGGAAAGUGCACUUGGAUUAA
RNAcentral lists this ribosomal RNA (497 nucleotides) under Aglyptodactylus madagascariensis (Madagascar jumping frog). RNAcentral's name for it is "partial 12S rRNA". It matches the Rfam family "Bacterial small subunit ribosomal RNA", at positions 794 to 1533 of the family's 1533-position model. Lineage: Eukaryota; Metazoa; Chordata; Amphibia; Anura; Mantellidae. The record is from RNAcentral.